RNAcentral lists this ribosomal RNA (301 nucleotides) under uncultured bacterium. Its description in RNAcentral is "partial 16S ribosomal RNA". It matches the Rfam family "Bacterial small subunit ribosomal RNA", at positions 509 to 808 of the family's 1533-position model. The record is from RNAcentral.
CAGUAGCCACGGGAAUACGUAGGUGGCAAGCGUUGUCCGGAAUUAUUGGGCGUAAAGGGCUCGCAGGCGGUUUCUUAAGUCUGAUGUGAAAGCCCCCGGCUCAACUGGGGAGGGUCAUUGGAAACUGGGAGACUUAGAGUGCAGAAGAGGAGAGUGGAAUUCCAUGUGUAGCGGUGAAAUGCGUAGAUAUAUGGAGGAACACCAGUGGCGAAGGCGACUCUCUGGUCUGUAACUGACGCUGAGGCGCGAAAGCGUGGGGAGCAAACAGGAUUAGAUACCCCAGUAGUCCCUGUCUCUUAUA